RNAcentral lists this non-coding RNA (236 nucleotides) under uncultured Vexilliferidae. Lineage: Eukaryota; Discosea; Flabellinia; Dactylopodida; Vexilliferidae. The record is from RNAcentral.
AAAAGGAAAAAAUGAAAAAAUCACGCUCGCUCCGUUUCUCCGAAAGCGUAUUGACGUCUUUCUCUUUUUUCUUUUCCUUUCUCACAUUUUCUCCUCUUUUCCUUUUACCUUUUUCUCUACUCUACUCUAGUAUCGUACAAAAACAAAGAGUUCUCUCAACCGUAUCGCCUUCUCUUUUCUGUUUUUGCUGCUUCGUAAAAUACCUAUUGAAAAAAAAAAACGUCAAAAAAAACCCA